RNAcentral lists this transfer RNA (68 nucleotides) under Marmota monax (woodchuck). Its description in RNAcentral is "tRNA.Ala". It matches the Rfam family "tRNA". From Rfam's summary of the family: Transfer RNA (tRNA) molecules are approximately 80 nucleotides in length. Their secondary structure includes four short double-helical elements and three loops (D, anti-codon, and T loops). The record is from RNAcentral. Lineage: Eukaryota; Metazoa; Chordata; Mammalia; Rodentia; Sciuridae.
GGGAUCUAGCUCAGUUGGUAGAGUGUUUGCUUAGCAUGCACAAGGUCCUGGGUUCAACCCCUAGCCCA